This 439-nucleotide long non-coding RNA is filed under the name Mus spicilegus (steppe mouse). RNAcentral describes it as "lncRNA (ENSMSIG00000009703.1)". The record is from RNAcentral. Lineage: Eukaryota; Metazoa; Chordata; Mammalia; Rodentia; Muridae.
GUUGAAUGCGGAUUUUGUUAAGUAUAAAGAGAGGAGAGAGAGAGAAUGAAUCUUCUAAAUUUAGAGACUGAGAAUUGAAAGUGGUGAAGCAGCUGGCCUAUCACACAGGUUGUUAUCUGUUUUGUCAUUAACUGAUAAUGCAAAUAAUUCAGAGCAAGGCAUCAUUGAAAAGACAGCAAGGAAUUGGAGUAGAGCUUUGUGUUUAUCUUCCUAUAAACCUACUGACCAAAAUAAAUGACCAUGAAGAAAAGAUACCUGCAUCAAUCUAAUCAGUUGCAUCCACAAAUGCCUUUUCAAAAAACUGUGAUUGUGCCGUAGCUGACAUCCUCUAUCAAUCCUCAAGACCUGCUUUAUUGUCAUAUUUUGUCUCUUCAGAUGAGAUUGGUUCAAUUUCUUUGACAUUAUUUCAAACUAUGGACCACAAGCAAAUAAAUAAAUU